RNAcentral lists this ribosomal RNA (372 nucleotides) under uncultured organism. Its description in RNAcentral is "partial 16S ribosomal RNA". It matches the Rfam family "Bacterial small subunit ribosomal RNA", at positions 526 to 896 of the family's 1533-position model. The record is from RNAcentral.
GGAGGGGUGCGAGCGUUAAUCGGAAUUACUGGGCGUAAAGCGCGUGUAGGUGGGACAAGUAAGUUGGAUGUGAAAUCCCCGGGGCUCAACCUGGGCAUGCCAUACAAAACUGCUUGACUAGAGUACGGUAGAGGGAAGUGGAAUUUCAGGUGUAGCGGUGAAAUGCGUAGAUAUCUGAAGGAACACCAGUGGCGAAGGCGGCUUCCUGGACUGAUACUGACACUGAGACGCGAAAGCGUGGGGAGCGAACAGGAUUAGAUACCCUGGUAGUCCACGCCGUAAACGAUGAGAACUAGCUGUUGGGGACUUCGGUCUUUAGUGGCGCAGUUAACGCAUUAAGUUCUCCGCCUGGGGAGUACGGCCGCAAGGUUA